This 274-nucleotide ribosomal RNA is filed under the name uncultured bacterium. Its description in RNAcentral is "partial 16S ribosomal RNA". It matches the Rfam family "Bacterial small subunit ribosomal RNA", at positions 523 to 796 of the family's 1533-position model. The record is from RNAcentral.
CUACGGAGGGUGCAAGCGUUAAUCGGAAUUACUGGGCGUAAAGAGUACGUAGGUGGUUUAUUAAGUCAGAUGUGAAAGCCCCGGGCUUAACCUGGGAACUGCAUUUGAUACUGGCAAACUAGAGUAUGGUAGAGGCGGGUAGAGUUCCUAGUGUAGCGGUGAAAUGCGUAGAUAUUAGGAGGAAUACCAGUGGCGAAGGCGGCCCGCUGGACCAAUACUGACACUGAGGUACGAAAGCGUGGGUAGCGAACAGGAUUAGAUACCCUAGUAGUCC